RNAcentral lists this long non-coding RNA (298 nucleotides) under Malus domestica (apple). RNAcentral describes it as "long non-coding RNA (MDOM_LNC019301)". The record is from RNAcentral. Lineage: Eukaryota; Viridiplantae; Streptophyta; Magnoliopsida; Rosales; Rosaceae.
GGACUUUAUCGUUUAAGCAUAUAACAUUUAUAUGAGACGGCUCAAACAAUAAUCUUUGCCCUUUAUAGUAAACAAGAUUAGUUUAACAUGUGAAAUGUCCGUAAAGUAUCAUCACAUGAUUGGUUUUAGGGCACAUUUCCAACAAUCUCCCACUUGCACUAGAGCCAAUCAGCUUGGUCAUCACUGAUGAUACCUCUUCUGUAGUCAUUUCAUAAAUGGCUGAAUAGUAAGCCUAGACAAUGGAUAUCUAUAUGUUAUCCAUAGAAGCAACCUUGAGAAUAACGACGUCACCAUUAUA